GAUGCGCAUCCCUAGGAACCGGAAGUAGGCGUACGGGGUCGCCUCACAAUCCACACCUCGUUCCGCCCGAACCCUGAGUACGCGUCAGGCUUCUCGGGGCGGGGAAAGGCCCAGGCCUCGCCCACUUGGGCGACGGAGGUCAGUGAUUGAUUCCCUGGGUCCUACGCGCUGGUCUGUUUCUGAGUGCCUCGUUGGACGCUGAUGCUGCUCAGCAUCCUUGGUGAAAAGUACGCGUGCCCGCCUUUCCUGACCCUUCCCGCACUAAAACAAAGUCUCAUUACGUAGCUCAGGCUGUCUUCGAACUCAUGAUCCUCUUCCUUAAGCCAAGGACUGGUAAUGCAAGGCUUCUGCCUCCAUGCCCAACCACAGCUCUCAUUAUUAAAAAUACUUGCCAAAGCCUGGGCCUGUUCUCCCCGGUGUUCUGGGCUUUCUCACUUUUCCUCCGAACCACCCUUUUGGGUCCAACUUCUACCAUUGCUGCACCUAAGAAGGCAUCGUUCUCUCUCUCUACUCCAGGCAGCUGCCAAGCCUUACAGCUUGCCUCCCUGUUGUUUUUCUCUUAAGCCCUACAAUGUUAUUCUUGAUCUUAAUAGUAAUAAUAAAAUAACAAAACAUCAAA
Mesocricetus auratus (golden hamster) is the source of this 619-nucleotide long non-coding RNA. RefSeq lists it as uncharacterized. The record is from RefSeq and is a predicted model, not a curated record. The transcript has 2 exons. Lineage: Eukaryota; Metazoa; Chordata; Mammalia; Rodentia; Cricetidae.